GGGCCCGUAGCUCAGCUGGGAGAGCGUCGCCUUUGCAAGGCGAAGGUCCCGGGUUCGAGUCCCGGUGGGUCCA
The sequence is a transfer RNA, 73 nucleotides long. It matches the Rfam family "tRNA". Rfam says of the family: Transfer RNA (tRNA) molecules are approximately 80 nucleotides in length. Their secondary structure includes four short double-helical elements and three loops (D, anti-codon, and T loops). Further hydrogen bonds mediate the characteristic L-shaped molecular structure. tRNAs have two regions of fundamental functional importance: the anti-codon, which is responsible for specific mRNA codon recognition, and the 3' end, to which the tRNAs corresponding amino acid is attached (by aminoacyl-tRNA synthetases). tRNAs cope with the degeneracy of the genetic code in two manners: having more than one tRNA (with a specific anti-codon) for a particular amino acid; and 'wobble' base-pairing, i.e. permitting non-standard base-pairing at the 3rd anti-codon position. The record is from Rfam.